AAGACUAUAGACCUGCGGAGUACCUGCGGAGGGAUCAUUAUCGAGUUUACCAACACCGGAGGCGCGACUGCUGCUGGCGUUCCCCAUCGGAGGGGGAAGGCAUGUGCGCGUUCGUCUUUGGGCUUUUUCCACUCACACCUGUGCACUUUUGAAAAGGGGGGGGAGGGCAUCGUAGCCUUUUUCUCUCCUUUUUUUUAAACACGAACCCUUGACGAAGUUAUUGAAUGUAAUUUGUUUUUA
This 240-nucleotide unclassified non-coding RNA is filed under the name soil metagenome. RNAcentral describes it as "partial contains 5.8S ribosomal RNA, internal transcribed spacer 2, and large subunit ribosomal RNA". The record is from RNAcentral.